AGGCAGAAGUGCAAAGCAAAAUGAUUUCGGCUCAUUCCGUGGGUAAAUUUACCCUCCGCCUU
This 62-nucleotide transfer RNA is filed under the name Polydora hoplura. Its description in RNAcentral is "tRNA-Arg". Lineage: Eukaryota; Metazoa; Annelida; Polychaeta; Spionida; Spionidae. The record is from RNAcentral.